UACGGAGGAUGCGAGCGUUAUCCGGAUUUAUUGGGUUUAAAGGGCGUGCAGCCGGAGAGACAAGUCAGAUGUGAAAUCCACGGGCUCAACCCGUGAACUGCAUUUGAAACUGUUUCCCUUGAGUGUCGGAGAGGUAAUCGGAAUUCCUUGUGUAGCGGUGAAAUGCGUAGAUAUAAGGAAGAACACCAGUGGCGAAGGCGGAUUACUGGACGAUAACUGACGGUGAGGCGCGAAAGCGUGGGGAGCAAACAGG
Molecule: ribosomal RNA, 253 nt
Filed under: uncultured bacterium
Lineage: Bacteria
Description: partial 16S ribosomal RNA
Rfam family: Bacterial small subunit ribosomal RNA
Source: RNAcentral